RNAcentral lists this ribosomal RNA (763 nucleotides) under uncultured Pseudomonadota bacterium. RNAcentral describes it as "bacterial SSU rRNA". It matches the Rfam family "Bacterial small subunit ribosomal RNA", at positions 57 to 796 of the family's 1533-position model. Lineage: Bacteria; Pseudomonadati; Pseudomonadota. The record is from RNAcentral.
GCAAGUCGAGCGGUAAGGCCCCUUCGGGGGUACACGAGCGGCGAACGGGUGAGUAACGCGUGGGUAACCUACCCAGAAGUGGGGGAUAGCCCCGGGAAACCGGGGAUAAUACCGCAUACGCCACAUUUGACUCGAGUCGAUUGUGAGAAAGGCGGGGAUCCUUCGGGACCUGUCGCUUCUGGAUGGGCCCGCGUCCGAUUAGCUUGUUGGUGGGGUAAUGGCCCACCAAGGCUUCGAUCGGUAGCCGGCCUGAGAGGGUGAACGGCCACAUUGGGACUGAGACACGGCCCAGACUCCUACGGGAGGCAGCAGUGGGGAAUUUUGGGCAAUGGGCGCAAGCCUGACCCAGCGACGCCGCGUGGAGGAUGAAGGCCUUCGGGUUGUAAACUCCUGUCAGGUGGGAAGAAAUACCCGCCGGUGAAUAGCCGGUGGGAGUUGACGGUACCACCAAAGGAAGCCCCGGCUAACUCCGUGCCAGCAGCCGCGGUAAUACGGAGGGGGCAAGCGUUAUUCGGAUUUACUGGGCGUAAAGCGCACGUAGGCGGCAUGGCAAGUCGCAGGUGAAAGCCCUCGGCUCAACCGAGGAAUUGCCUGCGAAACUGCUUUGCUUGAGUCCGGGAGGGGGGAGCGGAAUUCCCAGUGUAGCGGUGAAAUGCGUAGAUACUGGGAGGAACACCGGUGGCGAAGGCGGCUCCCUGGACCGGUACUGACGCUGAGGUGCGAAAGCGUGGGUAGCAAACAGGAUUAGAUACCCUGGUAGUCC